Molecule: ribosomal RNA, 253 nt
Filed under: uncultured bacterium
Lineage: Bacteria
Description: partial 16S ribosomal RNA
Rfam family: Bacterial small subunit ribosomal RNA
Source: RNAcentral
UACGUAGGGGGCGAGCGUUGUCCGGAAUCAUUGGGCGUAAAGCGCGUGUAGGCGGCUCGAUAAGUCCGGUGUGAAACCUUGGGGCUCAACCCCAAGCCUGCACUGGAUACUGCCGAGCUAGAGUCCGGGAGGGGAGAGCGGAAUUCCUAGUGUAGCGGUGAAAUGCGCAGAUAUCAGGAGGAACACCAGCGGCGAAGGCGGCGCGCUGGGCCGGAACUGACGCUGAGGAGCGAAAGCGUGGGGAGCGAACAGG